CGCGUUAAUUCGUGUCUGGUUAGCCAGGGAGAGAUAAAAGUUUUCGAACUAAAUCAAUUGUUGUGAACGGGGUUUCCCAUUGAUAACAAAAAACAUGGCGGCUAUUUGUUAGUAGGUCCCGCUUCAAGAUUUCAAAAUCAUCAAACGUUCCAGAAAUGCAACAACUGUAAAAACUUUCAACGCGGUUUUGUUCAUAUGGAUGGGAACAAACACAUGUGUAUGCAUUUUUGAAUAUAAAAGUUUUGUGGCGGUACUUGGCAAGCAAUUUUCUCACACUUUACUGUGGCUAUUGGUGCUGAUCUUGAACUAAAGGUAAAUGGAACAGCAUGGAUGUGGAUUUUUAGACACAAGGAAGCUGAAUUUAACUUUUAAGAAAGAAUUUAAAUGAUGAUUGUCCAUGAAAAGAAAUAUUAAUC
Long non-coding RNA from Physella acuta, 416 nucleotides. RefSeq lists it as uncharacterized. Lineage: Eukaryota; Metazoa; Mollusca; Gastropoda; Physidae. The record is from RefSeq and is a predicted model, not a curated record.